CCGAAAUAGCAAAAGCGACGAGGAGUCGUGUUGGCUGCCUGCUGGGGAGUGAGGAGAUCUGCUUUCACUCCGCUGCCCCACAUAUUUCCUGCUGGCUGGACGCCUUGUGAUUCUGCGAGUAGACACGCCUGCCGUAGUUCGACAUCAUAAGUAACCUCGUUUGGACCGCUGCGCUAAUUAGAGGCUCCGCAAAACAAGAUCUCACCAAUCUGCUGCUGGUGUUCUACCUGCACAUCUACUUAAAAGGAGGCUUCAAACUGGCGGAUCCACAGCUGAGGAAACACCAUGUUUUUUGGGGUGAUGUGCUCGUGUGACACCGUCGACCCCCCCCCUCCCGUGAACUCAAGUAGGGCUGAGAUGUCAGACGCGGCGGGUGAUCAGUGCGGUUACGUUGUCCAGCCGCUUCACGCCAGCAUAGAACUGUCAUUUGUGGGUGCGCGUCUACGUCCUCUCUGGAGAGCGGAGGAGGCGCCAAGGGAGUCGCAGUGACUCACGCUGUGGGAGAGAAGGGGAGUGAGGGACAGAGGGAAAGUGCCCACAUCAUCCCCCUCCGUCAUUACAGCCCACACCACCCACAGAAACUAAAGAGCGCAUUCACACAGAGAACACACACACACACACAUGGCAGCAUAUGAAAGAGGUAGCCUCCACAUCAGUGUGUCAGAGAGGCUUAUCCAUAAUGGGCAAGGCAGGCUGCAGCAGUGAAUCAAGCACUUAUUCAGAGAAGCCCUCCUGUAUAAUACAGUGCUCACAAUUAGAGUAGACAUUCACAGAAAAUGGUUAAAAGCUGCAAAUUAUCAUGUUUCGGUCGACACACGACUGGCGCUUUCUCGCGGUCACAGCUUGAUACAUUUUACAAUUUGGAUUUCACAUGUUGAAUAGAGAAGGCUUUUGAUCUGGGGAGUCAGAUAUUUGCCAUUGUGUGAGGCGUCGGGAGGAGACUGCUGUUGUAUUAGUGACAAACCUGUAUGAAAAAG
Molecule: long non-coding RNA, 977 nt
Organism: Gasterosteus aculeatus aculeatus (three-spined stickleback)
Lineage: Eukaryota; Metazoa; Chordata; Actinopteri; Perciformes; Gasterosteidae
Source: Ensembl